Molecule: small nuclear RNA, 102 nt
Organism: Phodopus roborovskii (desert hamster)
Lineage: Eukaryota; Metazoa; Chordata; Mammalia; Rodentia; Cricetidae
Source: RefSeq, a predicted model, not a curated record
CAAUAAUAAUAUUUGUGUAAUAAUACUGAAAAAAUAUAGAGAAGAUCAGCAUGGUCCCUUUGCAAUGAUGACAUGCAAAACUAUGAAGCAUUCGACAUUUUA